RNAcentral lists this ribosomal RNA (440 nucleotides) under uncultured bacterium. RNAcentral's name for it is "partial 16S ribosomal RNA". It matches the Rfam family "Bacterial small subunit ribosomal RNA", at positions 338 to 795 of the family's 1533-position model. The record is from RNAcentral.
CCUACGGGAGGCAGCAGUGGGGAAUAUUGCACAAUGGGGGAAACCCUGAUGCAGCAACGCCGCGUGAGUGAAGAAGUAUUUCGGUAUGUAAAGCUCUAUCAGCAGGGAAGAAGAAAGACGGUACCUGACUAAGAAGCCCCGGCUAACUACGUGCCAGCAGCCGCGGUAAUACGUAGGGGGCAAGCGGUAUCCGGAUUUACUGGGUGUAAAGGGAGCGUAGACGGCUGUGCAAGUCGGAAGUGAACGCCCGUGGCUCAACCCCGGCCCGCCGUUGAAACUGGCAGUCUCGAGUUGGAGAGAAGUAUGCGGAAUGCGCGGUGUAGCGGUGAAAUGCAUAGAUAUCGCGCAGAACUCCGAUUGCGAAGGCAGCAUGCCGGCUCCACACUGACGCUGAGGCACGAAAGCGUGGGUAUCGAACAGGAUUAGAUACCCCUGUAGUC